Non-coding RNA from Oryctolagus cuniculus (rabbit), 3039 nucleotides. The record is from RefSeq and is a predicted model, not a curated record. Lineage: Eukaryota; Metazoa; Chordata; Mammalia; Lagomorpha; Leporidae.
GUGUGUGUGUGUUUUCUUUUCCCUGAGAUUGUCAAACGUUUGUAGCUAAUUAUCAGUUGGAGUCAGUGUAACAAAACCUGCCUUUCUAGGCUGGAUUUGAUUAAAAUGCCUCUGCUAUCAGCCCGGGGCUGCGGUAAGUGUGAGUGUGUGCAGUGGGGUUUUCCUUCCCCUCCGAGGAAAGCCCCGCCAAGCUUUCUAAGCCCAGGCUAUUAACUGGAACGGCAAAGCCUUACCGAAAGCACUAUCGCUUCCGCUUUAAGAAACAAUGAACUAUUUCCUGGCAUUUCCAUUCGGAAGGCUUCGGGGGCUGUGAAGGGAAAACAUGGACUAUAGGAUAAAUUUGCUCAGGAAAGAACACCUUCCCUGCAGGCUUCAGUGAAGGCUCGGAGAAAAUUCAGAGACCUCAGAUUCACUCAGCCUCUGAGGAUUCGGCUCCAGAGCACAAUUUCAAAGCAGGUACGGCCCCUGCACUCUGUCAGCCUGCAGUCCGGCUUCUCCCACCGCCUCUCCCCUGAAACUGCCAAGAAUCCCCAGGUACCUUCCCCUGGCCACGCCCUAGAAAACCCUUUUCAGUAAUGACGGCGGUUGACCUUUCUGCUGUAAGUAUUUUCACCCUGGUGUUUCUUUCCACCAAGGAUGUGAUGGUGAUGUCUCCUUCUGUUUCCACAAUCAGCUCUUUCUGUUUACUGGCCCUUUAAAUGCAGGCUCACCACGGGAUUCCAACCGUACUGUUCUCUGAGAGGAGUUUUCGUAUUUGUAAGAGGACAGUGACACAGAUGAGACGGUACAACCUCUCCCUUGAAGGCUACAAUGCGCACUCGGAGAAACCCAGACAUCACAAAAACUCACCUCACUCUCUACAAAUCUGACUCGAGAUUUCUCUUCCUUGUAGGCUAAAAGCCCGCUAAUGCGUGUUUGUGGCUUCUGAUCCUUGGCACAGACAACUGCUUCUGGGAGCUCCUAAAGAAGUUAAACAGAAAGUUACCAUUUGACUUCACAUCUUUUACUCCUAGCUAUAUAUCCAAGAGAAAUUUUAAAAAUACAUUAUCAGAAAAGUUUGUAUAUAAUGUUUGGCUAUGAGACACCAUAGCAAAAGGGCAGAAACAGCACAAAUGCCCAUCAGGUGACAAAUGGGCAAACAAGAUGUUAUAUAUGCACACAAAGGGAUGUUAUUAUUCAGCCAUAGAAGGAGGUGAAGAGAUUCAUGUGACAGCAUGAAUGAAGUCAGCCACAAAAGACUCCACAGUGUGUGUGAUUCCAUUCACGUGAACUGUACAGAAUGGGACCAUCUACAGAGAUAGAAGAUUCAUAGCGGUCUAGGAACGGGGCAGAUGGGGGACUGGGGACGACGGCUAUUUUAGCCCAGCUGCGCUGCUCUAACACAAUGGGUGACAGUAAAAGCACCAACAUUUGCAUCUUGCAAUUCUGGAGGCUGGGAAGACCUCUCGCACUUGUUCCUGGUAAAAGCUUUCUCUGCUUCCAAGAUGGCAGCCUGUGGUGGCGCCCUCACAUGGUGGCAGGUGGAAGGGCAAGGGGGGAAGCUCUGAAGCUGCUUGUAUAGGGCAACGGUUGGUUCAUGAAGGUGGAGCUCUCCCGACCAAAUUACUUCCUCAGAGCUCCACCUGUUCAGACCGUCACACUGGGCAUUGAGCUUACCAUGCACGUGGGAGAGGAUGCUGCACUCAAACCACAGCAACAGCUAAAGCUUACGAAUUUUCAUUCGUGAGCAAUGAAAAAAUUCUAAAAUUGACUGUGGUGACGAUGAUUCCUCAACUCUGUGAAUGUGCUAAUAACCACUGAAUUGUAUACUUUAAAUAGGUGAGUGGUAACUCAGUAAAGCCAAGACCAAGAAGAGAAAAGGAAGAGGAGGAGGAGGAGGGGGUACACUUACUUCAUCAAAGGUUUGGGGAAGAGCUACAGGGAAAAGCAUGAGUAGUAACUAGCUGGUAGGUAUCCGGUAACUGCUAGAGAGUGGGUGUGGUCAUUAUGCUUUCUUUAGUUACAUUUUAUGGUCAAAGUCUCUUUCAGUGCAACAAACAGAAACUUCCAUAAACAGGAAAGCAGAGUGGAAUUUCAAAAACUGACAGAAUUCAAGGGCUGUAAAGCACAAGAAAAUGUACUUUCCUACACUCAUCUAUGAUACCACUUCAUGAUAAAAAUACUUUAAUACCGUCAUCAUGGGCUGAAUUGAGUUUAGCUCUUAUUAAGUAUUUGCAGUGCUGACAACUAACCCAUUCAAGCAGGAAAUUGGACAACAGAAGCUUUCCCCUUUUGUACUUCUUUGUUGGGGAGGGGAGGAGAGGGGAGGGGAGAGCUGCAGGCAGCAGCUUAACCAGCUACACACAGCGCCACCCCAGCUUCCUUCUAACGCGCACCCUGGGAGGCAGCAGAUGAUGGUUCAAGUACUUGGGUCCCUACUACCCACGUGGGAGACCUGGAUUGAGUUCCUGGCUCCUGGCUCUUAGCUUGGAAACGUUUGGACAUUUGGGGAAUGAAACAGUGGACGGGAAUCUCUCUGUCUCUGUCUCAUUGAAUCUCUUUGCCUCUCAAGUCAAUAAAACAAGUAAAUGUUUUUAAAGAGUGAUUUUGUGAACUUGAUGUCAGUAAUAGCAGCUUAGAUGUGAAAAAAGAGAACUCAGAGAUCUUUUUGGAGUGGUUGUUAAAAGACCCCAACCAUUACAGCCACUGAGAGUGAAAAUAUAGGAAAGAGGGCCGGCACCGCGGCUCACUUGGCAAAUCCUCCACCUGCGGUGCCAUUGGGGCGCCGGAUUCUGUCCUGCUUGCCCCUCUUCCAGGCCAGCUCUCUGCUGUGGCCCGAGAAGGCAAUGGAGGAUGGCCCAAGUGCUUGGGCCCUGUACCUGCAUGGGAGACCAGGAGGAAGUACCUGGCUCCUGGCUUUGGAUCAGCGCAGCGCCAGCCAUAGAGGCCACUUGGGGGGUGAACCAAAGGAAAAGGAAGGCCUUUCUGUCUCUCUCUCUCUCUCACUGUCUAACUCUGCCUGUCAAAAAAAAAAAAAAAAAAAAAAAAAAAGAAAGAAAA